RNAcentral lists this ribosomal RNA (429 nucleotides) under uncultured Acidobacterium sp. Its description in RNAcentral is "bacterial SSU rRNA". It matches the Rfam family "Bacterial small subunit ribosomal RNA", at positions 958 to 1385 of the family's 1533-position model. The record is from RNAcentral. Lineage: Bacteria; Pseudomonadati; Acidobacteriota; Terriglobia; Terriglobales; Acidobacteriaceae.
AACGCGAAGAACCUUACCUGGGCUCGAAAUGUAGUGGAAUACGGUGGAAACAUCGUCGUCUCGCAAGAGACUGCUAUAUAGGUGCUGCAUGGCUGUCGUCAGCUCGUGUCGUGAGAUGUUGGGUUAAGUCCCGCAACGAGCGCAACCCUUAUCCCUAGUUGCCAUCGGGUCAAGCCGGGCACUCUAGUGAAACCGCUCAGGAUAACUGGGAGGAAGGUGGGGAUGACGUCAAGUCCUCAUGGCCUUUAUGUCCAGGGCUACACACGUGCUACAAUGGUCGGUACAAACCGUCGCAAACCCGCGAGGGGGAGCUAAUCGGAAAAAGCCGGCCUCAGUUCGGAUUGGAGUCUGCAACCCGACUCCAUGAAGCUGGAAUCGCUAGUAAUCGCGGAUCAGAACGCCGCGGUGAAUACGUUCCCGGGCCUUGUA